AACAAGGCGUACCUGCGGACCUGCGGAAGGAUCAUUACCAAUUCAACGGUGUGGUCGCGGCCUCCGGGGGCUCCCCCCGGGCGGUAGAGGUAACACUCUUACGCGCCACAUGUCUGAAUCCUUUUUUUACGAGCACCUUUCGUUCUCCUUCGGUGGGGCAACCUGCCGUUGGAACUUAUUAAAACCUUUUUUUGCAUCUAGCAUUACCUGUUCAGAUACAAACAAUCGUUACAACUUUUA
RNAcentral lists this unclassified non-coding RNA (240 nucleotides) under soil metagenome. Its description in RNAcentral is "partial contains 5.8S ribosomal RNA, internal transcribed spacer 2, and large subunit ribosomal RNA". The record is from RNAcentral.